GACAGAGGGUGCAAACGUUGCUCGGAAUCACUGGGCGUAAAGGGCGUGUAGGCGGGAAGGCAAGUCAGAUGUGAAAUCCCUGGGCUCAACCCAGGAACUGCAUUUGAAACUCCCUUUCUUGAGUACCGGAGAGGAAGGUGGAAUACCUGGUGUAGAGGUGAAAUUCGUAGAUAUCAGGUGGAACACCAGUGGCGAAGGCGGCCUUCUGGACGGUAACUGACGCUGAGACGCGAAAGCGUGGGGAGCAAACAGG
Molecule: ribosomal RNA, 253 nt
Filed under: uncultured bacterium
Lineage: Bacteria
Description: partial 16S ribosomal RNA
Rfam family: Bacterial small subunit ribosomal RNA
Source: RNAcentral